GGUUAAGCGACUAAGCGUACACGGUGGAUGCCCUGGCAGUCAGAGGCGAUGAAGGGCGUGCUAAUCUGCGAUAAGCGCCGGUAAGGUGAUAUGAACCGUUAUAACCGGCGAUACCCGAAUGGGGAAACCCAGUGUGACUCGUCACACUAUCAUUAACUGAAUCCAUAGGUUAAUGAGGCGAACCGGGGGAACUGAAACAUCUAAGUACCCCGAGGAAAAGAAAUCAACCGAGAUUCCCCCAGUAGCGGCGAGCGAACGGGGAGGAGCCCAGAGCCUGAAUCAGCAUGUGUGUUAGUGGAAGCGUCUGGAAAGGCGCGCGAUACAGGGUGACAGCCCCGUACACAAAAGCGCAUGUGCUGUGAGCUCGAUGAGUAGGGCGGGACACGUGGUAUCCUGUCUGAAUAUGGGGGGACCAUCCUCCAAGGCUAAAUACUCCUGACUGACCGAUAGUGAACCAGUACCGUGAGGGAAAGGCGAAAAGAACCCCGGCGAGGGGAGUGAAAAAGAACCUGAAACCGUGUACGUACAAGCAGUGGGAGCCCCACCACUAAGCCAGUGGUGAACUCCACAUACGCAUCCUUUGCUGAGGAUACGGUUAACGGAGCGAAAGCGACGUUCAACCGCAAAACAAGCAGAGGGGGCUUAGUGGUGGGGUGACUGCGUACCUUUUGUAUAAUGGGUCAGCGACUUAUAUUCUGUAGCAAGGUUAACCGAAUAGGGGAGCCGGAGGGAAACCGAGUCUUAAUUGGGCGUUAAGUUGCAGGGUAUAGACCCGAAACCCGGUGAUCUAGCCAUGGGCAGGUUGAAGGUUGGGUAACACUAACUGGAGGACCGAACCGACUAAUGUUGAAAAAUUAGCGGAUGACCUGUGGCUGGGGGUGAAAGGCCAAUCAAACCGGGAGAUAGCUGGUUCUCCCCGAAAGCUAUUUAGGUAGCGCCUCGUGAACUCAUCUCCGGGGGUAGAGCACUGUUUCGGCUAGGGGGCCAUCCCGGCUUACCAACCCGAUGCAAACUGCGAAUACCGGAGAAUGUUAUCACGGGAGACACACGGCGGGUGCUAACGUCCGUCGUGAAGAGGGAAACAACCCAGACCGCCAGCUAAGGUCCCAAAGUCAUGGUUAAGUGGGAAACGAUGUGGGAAGGCCCAGACAGCCAGGAUGUUGGCUUAGAAGCAGCCAUCAUUUAAAGAAAGCGUAAUAGCUCACUGGUCGAGUCGGCCUGCGCGGAAGAUGUAACGGGGCUAAACCAUGCACCGAAGCUGCGGCAGCGACGCUGAUGCGUUGUUGGGUAGGGGAGCGUUCUGUAAGCCUGUGAAGGUGUGUCGUGAGGCAUGCUGGAGGUAUCAGAAGUGCGAAUGCUGACAUAAGUAACGAUAAAGCGGGUGAAAAGCCCGCUCGCCGGAAGACCAAGGGUUCCUGUCCAACGUUAAUCGGGGCAGGGUGAGUCGACCCCUAAGGCGAGGCCGAAAGGCGUAGUCGAUGGGAAACGGGUUAAUAUUCCCGUACUUGGUGUUACUGCGAAGGGGGGACGGAGAAGGCUAUGUUGGCCGGGCGACGGUUGUCCCGGUUUAAGCGUGUAGGUGUGUGUUCCAGGUAAAUCCGGUUCACUUUAACACUGAGGCGUGAUGACGAGGCACUACGGUGCUGAAGCAACAAAUGCCCUGCUUCCAGGAAAAGCCUCUAAGCAUCAGGUAACAUCAAAUCGUACCCCAAACCGACACAGGUGGUCAGGUAGAGAAUACCAAGGCGCUUGAGAGAACUCGGGUGAAGGAACUAGGCAAAAUGGUGCCGUAACUUCGGGAGAAGGCACGCUGACACGUAGGUGAAGUGAUUUACUCAUGGAGCUGAAGUCAGUCGAAGAUACCAGCUGGCUGCAACUGUUUAUUAAAAACACAGCACUGUGCAAACACGAAAGUGGACGUAUACGGUGUGACGCCUGCCCGGUGCCGGAAGGUUAAUUGAUGGGGUCAGCGCAAGCGAAGCUCCUGAUCGAAGCCCCGGUAAACGGCGGCCGUAACUAUAACGGUCCUAAGGUAGCGAAAUUCCUUGUCGGGUAAGUUCCGACCUGCACGAAUGGCGUAAUGAUGGCCAGGCUGUCUCCACCCGAGACUCAGUGAAAUUGAACUCGCUGUGAAGAUGCAGUGUACCCGCGGCAAGACGGAAAGACCCCGUGAACCUUUACUAUAGCUUGACACUGAACAUUGAGCCUUGAUGUGUAGGAUAGGUGGGAGGCUUUGAAGCGUGGACGCCAGUCUGCGUGGAGCCGACCUUGAAAUACCACCCUUUAAUGUUUGAUGUUCUAACGUGGACCCGUAAUCCGGGUUGCGGACAGUGUCUGGUGGGUAGUUUGACUGGGGCGGUCUCCUCCUAAAGAGUAACGGAGGAGCACGAAGGUUGGCUAAUCCUGGUCGGACAUCAGGAGGUUAGUGCAAUGGCAUAAGCCAGCUUGACUGCGAGCGUGACGGCGCGAGCAGGUGCGAAAGCAGGUCAUAGUGAUCCGGUGGUUCUGAAUGGAAGGGCCAUCGCUCAACGGAUAAAAGGUACUCCGGGGAUAACAGGCUGAUACCGCCCAAGAGUUCAUAUCGACGGCGGUGUUUGGCACCUCGAUGUCGGCUCAUCACAUCCUGGGGCUGAAGUAGGUCCCAAGGGUAUGGCUGUUCGCCAUUUAAAGUGGUACGCGAGCUGGGUUUAGAACGUCGUGAGACAGUUCGGUCCCUAUCUGCCGUGGGCGCUGGAGAACUGAGGGGGGCUGCUCCUAGUACGAGAGGACCGGAGUGGACGCAUCACUGGUGUUCGGGUUGUCAUGCCAAUGGCACUGCCCGGUAGCUAAAUGCGGAAGAGAUAAGUGCUGAAAGCAUCUAAGCACGAAACUUGCCCCGAGAUGAGUUCUCCCUGAGACUUUAGGUCUCCUGAAGGAACGUUGAAGACGACGACGUUGAUAGGCCGGGUGUGUAAGCGCAGCGAUGCGUUGAGCUAACCGGUACUAAUGAACCGUGAGGCUUAACCUU
RNAcentral lists this ribosomal RNA (3007 nucleotides) under Salmonella enterica subsp. enterica serovar Paratyphi B. RNAcentral's name for it is "23S ribosomal RNA". It matches the Rfam family "Bacterial large subunit ribosomal RNA". Lineage: Bacteria; Pseudomonadati; Pseudomonadota; Gammaproteobacteria; Enterobacterales; Enterobacteriaceae. The record is from RNAcentral.